Molecule: non-coding RNA, 519 nt
Organism: Cherax quadricarinatus
Lineage: Eukaryota; Metazoa; Arthropoda; Malacostraca; Decapoda; Parastacidae
Source: RefSeq, a predicted model, not a curated record
GGGUUAUAGGUCCUGUGAUCAAGCAGGCUAUUGGUGACUGCCGUAAGAGGACAACGAUCGUGUCGAGAAUCAUUUCUAACAUUGAAAAUGGCAAGAAAAACAGUCGCAAAUUCGAAAACAAAACAAAAAAAUUAGAACAAUAGACGAAUUCUCAUCAACGUGGUUUCAGAAUACGACACAAGAAGAGCGUCUGAAAAAUACAGAAAGUGUUAGUAAGUUACAGCACGAAACGUGUGGUGCGUAGGAAGGUUGGGGGGGAGGGGUAGUUACAGCUCACGACUACGUGGCAACUUAAGGUUUCUGGAUAUAGCAGGUAUAAUGUUGAGUGAGGCGCCGUGUGUGUCUCACCACCAUUCAGUGAUCAGACUGGCUACCAGAAGCAGUACUUAUCAGCAAUGAUGAUGUUAACGGGUAAAUCUUCGCGAAAUCUUCUGUUGCUUCUGACCGUUGGUAUUGUUCUUCUGUUUUAUGUAGGACAAGACCGGGUCGUAAUUCAAGUGGAUAGACCUCAAAUUGACG